Mustela erminea (ermine) is the source of this 1375-nucleotide long non-coding RNA. RefSeq lists it as uncharacterized. The record is from RefSeq and is a predicted model, not a curated record. The transcript is spliced from 3 exons. NCBI's taxonomy places the organism in Eukaryota, Metazoa, Chordata, Mammalia, Carnivora, Mustelidae.
CUUAUCUGUUGUAAGAAGCCAGUGUGGAGUCUAGCAGUUAUGAGCUCAGACUUGUCAGGUGGAUAGAGUUGGUGGUAUUGCAUAAAGUGGUAGGAUUCUGAAGCAAGCUAAAACUCUCUUGAAUGCUCAUUUCUCACCUGUGAAGUGGGCUUACUUGUAUCUUCCUCACACACUUAUGAAGACUUUGUGGUAUACUGCAGUUAUUUUUAGCUUUCAUGACCUUUUUCACAGAAGAGAAGACCACAGGUCAGCAGCAUGGAUUAGAGAAAUCCCACUCCAAGCUGCAAUGAUAACUACUAUUGUCAAUCUGGUCUCAGGAUAAAGUGUUUCCAAGUGUUACAGAUCUCAAACUGGGCUUCUUCUGAGUUCCAUGGAUUAAGCCUAACUGACGGGCAGAGAAUAAGUAGGAAAACAGGCCCUAACCCAACAGACACAAAUCCAGCUUUUCCAGCCCAGCUCUCAAGUACCAGCCUAGACCAUUUACAUUCUUCCUGGUCAGAGCUAUAGUUGCUCAAGUCUCUUACAUCUAGGUGUGCAAUAUAAAAGAAACCCUUCUGAUGGCUGCAAAUAUUCUGGGUAAAAGAAAACUCUGACUUUAGGAUAUUUAUCUGGUUGAGUUGAUGCCUUAUAGGAGAUGAAGGAGAGCUAUAUAGAAAAUCUUGGCUUUCUUCCCUAUGGACAAAGUCAAGAUUUUCCACAGCCAUGCAGGAAGUGGAUUGCAUGGCUCUCUACUGCCUUAGGUCUCAUCUUUUCUUUUUUAACUUACUCAACUAGCCAAUAUAUAGUAUGUCAUUAGUUUCAGAUAUAGUGUUCAAUAACUUUUCAGUUGCAUAUAAUACCCAGUACUCAUCUUUUUUACACUGCUUAAGGUUUUACUAUCUUUUACCCCUCAACACAAAACUAUAAAUUUAUUUCCAAGUUCUUUUUCCUGUCUAAUUUUUCUUCCUAACACUUAUCAUUAUUUUGCAUGUUAUAGGUUUCACACAUUUAUGGUGUAUAUCAUCUGUCUCACUCCACUAGAAUACUAAUCCUCUGAAGGCAGGGUUCUGUUUUCUUUGUUUAUGUCUGUGUUCUUAACAGGCCUUGUGCAUACAAGGUACUCAAUGAAUGAAUGAAUGAAUGAUCAAGGAAAAAGACACAAAUAGUUGAACCACCAAAAUGCUGACUGCUGUUUGUAUGGUUCAGUUGAUUUAAUCACAAAGGAAGCUUUAACAGAGGGAGGAAGCACCAGACUGGGGAUAAGGCAAGUCUAUCACUCUGGCAAGUUUGUCGCUUUGUUAUCUGAGCAGGUCACUUGGCCUCUCUAGGUAUCAAUUUCUCAUCUUUAAACAAGGAGACUAAGAUAGAAGAUCUCUAAAGUACCCUCUAACUCCAU